CCUACGGGAGGCAGCAGUGAGGAAUAUUGGUCAAUGGCCGGGAGCCUGAACCAGCCAAGCCGCGUGAGGGAUGAAGGCUCCACGCGUCGUAAACCUCUUUUGUCGGGGAACAAAGGGCGGGACGCGUCCCGUGGUGAGUGUACCCGGAGAAAAAGCAUCGGCUAACUCCGUGCCAGCAGCCGCGGUAAUACGGAGGAUGCGAGCGUUAUCCGGAUUUAUUGGGUUUAAAGGGUGCGCAGGCGGUCGGGAAAGUCAGCGGUAAAAGCCCGGGGCUCAACCCCGGCCCGCCGUUGAAACUGGGGGUCUAGAGAGGGCGAGAAGUACGCGGAAUGCGCGGUGUAGCGGUGAAAUGCAUAGAUAUCGCGCAGAACUCCGAUUGCGAAGGCAGCGUACCGGCGCCGGACUGACGCUGAGGCACGAAAGCGUGGGUAUCGAACAGGAUUAGAUACCCGGGUAGUC
RNAcentral lists this ribosomal RNA (459 nucleotides) under uncultured bacterium. Its description in RNAcentral is "partial 16S ribosomal RNA". It matches the Rfam family "Bacterial small subunit ribosomal RNA", at positions 338 to 795 of the family's 1533-position model. The record is from RNAcentral.